Molecule: ribosomal RNA, 315 nt
Filed under: uncultured bacterium
Lineage: Bacteria
Description: bacterial SSU rRNA
Rfam family: Bacterial small subunit ribosomal RNA
Source: RNAcentral
GAUGAACGCUAGCUACAGGCUUAACACAUGCAAGUCGAGGGGCAGCAUGGUCUUAGCUUGCUAAGACUGAUGGCGACCGGCGCACGGGUGAGUAACACGUAUCCAACCUGCCGUCUACUCUUGGACAGCCUUCUGAAAGGAAGAUUAAUACAAGAUGGCAUCAUGAGUCCGCAUGUUCACAUGAUUAAAGGUAUUCCGGUAGACGAUGGGGAUGCGGCGCAUUAGCUAGUUGGCGGGGCAACGGCCCACCAAGGCGACGAUGCGUAGGGGUUCUGAGAGGAAGGUCCCCCACACUGGUACUGAGACACGGACCAG